CCUACGGGAGGCUGCAGUGAGGAAUAUUGGUCAAUGGGCUUACGCCUGAACCAGCCAAGUCGCGUGAGGGAAGACUGCCCUAUGGGUUGUAAACCUCUUUUGUCAGGGAGCAACGCCGGCUACGUGUAGCCGGACUGAGAGUACCUGAAGAAAAAGCAUCGGCUAACUCCGUGCCAGCAGCCGCGGUAAUACGGAGGAUGCGAGCGUUAUCCGGAUUUAUUGGGUUUAAAGGGUGCGUAGGCGGAAUGCCAAGUCAGCGGUAAAAGCGCGGGGCUCAACCUCGCUCUGCCGUUGAUACUGGCGUUCUAGAGUGGGCGAGAGGUAGGCGGAAUGUGUGGUGUAGCGGUGAAAUGCAUAGAGAUCACGCAGAACUCCGAGUGCGAAGGCAGCAUACCGGCGCCCAACUGACGCUGAAGCACGAAAGCGUGGGGAUCGAACAGGAUUAGAUACCCUUGUAGUC
This 460-nucleotide ribosomal RNA is filed under the name uncultured bacterium. RNAcentral describes it as "partial 16S ribosomal RNA". It matches the Rfam family "Bacterial small subunit ribosomal RNA", at positions 338 to 795 of the family's 1533-position model. The record is from RNAcentral.